Molecule: small RNA, 419 nt
Filed under: Pongo abelii (Sumatran orangutan)
Lineage: Eukaryota; Metazoa; Chordata; Mammalia; Primates; Hominidae
Description: retained intron
Source: RNAcentral
UCCGCCUGGCUGCACUGCGUGUGUGUGGUGGGCUUCGAUCUGGAGCUGGGCCAGGCCGUGGAGGUAAUUUAUCCUCAGCAUUCCAAACUUACUGACAGAGAAAAAACCAAUAUUUGCUAUUUGUCUUUUCCAGAUUCAAAUUCAGGUUGUCUUGGAGAUACCCAGUUUUGUUUUAGAUUUCGACAGUCUUCUGGGAGGAGGGUGUCGCUGCAUUGUCUCCUGGAUCAAUUUGACAAAGAUAUACCAGUUUACUUAAAGGUUGGAAAAGUAGUCAUAGAAAAAUGUCCAUGUGAGAGGAAACUUUAGAACUCAUUUAUUCGGUUACCUCUACACUAUUCAGAAAUAUUUUGCUUUUGUUUUGCUACUAUAUUAUAUAGCUGAAUUUCCUAAGUGAGUCUUAUUCAUAAGGAUUCAGCAUC